UACGUAGGUGGCAAGCGUUGUCCGGAUUUAUUGGGUUUAAAGGGUGCGUAGGCGGCUUUGUAAGUCAGUGGUGAAAUAUGGCAGCUUAACUGUCAAGGUGCCAUUGAUACUGCGGAGCUUGAGUACAGAUGAGGUAGGCGGAAUUGACGGUGUAGCGGUGAAAUGCUUAGAUAUCGUCAAGAACACCUAUAGCGAAGGCAGCUUACUAGGCUGUAACUGACGCUGAGACACGAAAGUGUGGGGAUCAAACAGG
This 253-nucleotide ribosomal RNA is filed under the name uncultured bacterium. RNAcentral describes it as "partial 16S ribosomal RNA". It matches the Rfam family "Bacterial small subunit ribosomal RNA", at positions 524 to 776 of the family's 1533-position model. The record is from RNAcentral.